UACCGAUUCGGCGCGCGAUUGGCUCGCCAACACCGGUUACGAUCCGGCGUAUGGCGCUCGCCCGCUGCGUCGUUUGGUGCAAACCGAAGUCGGCGACCA
This 99-nucleotide transfer RNA is filed under the name Bifidobacterium catenulatum. RNAcentral's name for it is "tRNA-Arg(acg)". RNAcentral also lists the same sequence under 1 other name. Lineage: Bacteria; Bacillati; Actinomycetota; Actinomycetes; Bifidobacteriales; Bifidobacteriaceae. The record is from RNAcentral.